AACGUAGGAGGCGAGCGUUAUUCGGAUUUACUGGGCGUAAAGCGCGUGCAGGCGGUUCUGUAAGUUGGAGGUUAAAUCCCCUGGCUUAACUGGGGGGCGUCCUUCAAAACUGCAGGGCUUGAGGAUGGGAGAGGGAAGUGGAAUUCCCGGUGUAGUGGUGGAAUGCGUAGAUAUCGGGAGGAACACCAGUGGCGAAGGCGGCUUCCUGGCCCACACCUGACGCUCAGACGCGAAAGCGUGGGGAGCGAACGGG
RNAcentral lists this ribosomal RNA (253 nucleotides) under uncultured bacterium. RNAcentral describes it as "partial 16S ribosomal RNA". It matches the Rfam family "Bacterial small subunit ribosomal RNA", at positions 524 to 776 of the family's 1533-position model. RNAcentral also lists the same sequence under 1 other name. The record is from RNAcentral.